UGCGUAGAUAUUAGGAGGAACACCAGUGGCGAAGGCGACUUACUGGACUGUAACUGACGCUGAGUCACGAAAGCGUGGGUAGCAAACAGGAUUAGAUACCCUGGUAGUCCACGCUGUAAACGAUGAGUGCUAGGUGUUGGGUAGCGAUACUCAGUGCCGAAGUAAACACAAUAAGCACUCCGCCUGGGGAGUACGGUCGCAAGACUGAAACUCAAAGGAAUUGACGGGGACCCGCACAAGCAGCGGAGCAUGUGGUUUAAUUCGAAGCAACGCGAAGAACCUUACCAAGGCUUGACAUCCCCUUGACAGAAGCAGAGAUGUUUCCUUCCCUUCGGGGACAAGGGAGACAGGUGGUGCAUGGUUGUCGUCAGCUCGUGUCGUGAGAUGUUGGGUUAAGUCCCGCAACGAGCGCAACCCUUAUCCUUAGUUGCCAUCAGGUAAAGCUGGGCACUCUAAAGAGACUGCCGAUGAUAAAUCGGAGGAAGGUGGGGAUGACGUCAAAUCAUCAUGCCCCUUAUGUCUUGGGCUACACACGUGCUACAAUGGUCGGUACAAAGGGGAGCGAAGGAGCGAUCCGGAGCAAAUCCCAAUAAACCGAUCCCAGUUCGGAUUGUAGGCUGCAACUCGCCUACAUGAAGUCGGAGUUGCUAGUAAUCGCGAAUCAGAACGUCGCGGUGAAUGCGUUCCCGGGUCUUGUACACACCGCCCGUCACACCAUGGAAGUUGGUAAUACCCGAAGUCGCUGAGCUAACCGCAAGGAGGCAGGCGCCGAAGGUAGGAUCAAUGACUGGGGUGAAGUCGUAACAAGGUAACC
Molecule: ribosomal RNA, 814 nt
Filed under: uncultured bacterium
Lineage: Bacteria
Description: bacterial SSU rRNA
Rfam family: Bacterial small subunit ribosomal RNA
Source: RNAcentral